UAUAUGGACGCUCUCGGGGGAUCAGGGAAAGUUGUGGAAUCAAACAUCCAUCAACAUCCCAGUUAUCGACGGUCUUAAAGUUCGCAUUGAGGCAACUAGAAUAUCUGCAGAUGGACUUGGGGAUAUUGCUAUUGAUACAGUAGUCCUUAAGAAUAUCGCCUGUUCUUAAUACUGACGACGAUGACUCUUCCUUUUUAUACUAUAUGUUCAGACAAAAAUGUGUUUAUUAAUAAUGUACUCAGACUUAUGGAUAUUAAACAGUAAUCAUUAUUAUAAAGUAUAUUCAUCAUAAUCAUGUAUGCUUUCUGAUAAACAAAAGUAAGCCUUGAGCCUACCAGACAAAAACAGAUGUUCUAUAUCGUUCAUUGCAGGAUGAAUCAAUGGAAUCAAUUAUAUUAAAUAUAGAUGUCGAUUCCAAAAAGUGUCAACAUCUGUGUACCAGGACUUGUUUUUUGAUGUACAUGCAUACCACAAUAUAGCUGUUGAUUUCUGUGACAGCAAGUUUGCAUUUUCCUUAUUAAAUAUAUUACUGCAA
This is a long non-coding RNA of Mizuhopecten yessoensis (Yesso scallop), 535 nucleotides long. RefSeq lists it as uncharacterized. The record is from RefSeq and is a predicted model, not a curated record. NCBI's taxonomy places the organism in Eukaryota, Metazoa, Mollusca, Bivalvia, Pectinida, Pectinidae. The transcript has 2 exons.